This 245-nucleotide ribosomal RNA is filed under the name Photorhabdus luminescens. RNAcentral's name for it is "partial 16S ribosomal RNA". It matches the Rfam family "Bacterial small subunit ribosomal RNA", at positions 1292 to 1533 of the family's 1533-position model. The record is from RNAcentral. Lineage: Bacteria; Pseudomonadati; Pseudomonadota; Gammaproteobacteria; Enterobacterales; Morganellaceae.
UCCGGAUUGGAGUCUGCAACUCGACUCCAUGAAGUCGGAAUCGCUAGUAAUCGUAGAUCAGCAUGCUACGGUGAAUACGUUCCCGGGCCUUGUACACACCGCCCGUCACACCAUGGGAGUGGGUUGCAAAAGAAGUCGGUAGCUUAACCGCGAGGGGGGCGCUGACCACUUUGUGGCUCAUGACUGGGGUGAAGUCGUAACAAGGUAACCGUAGGGGAACCUGCGGUUGGAUCACCUCCUUACCU